This is a long non-coding RNA of Melitaea cinxia (Glanville fritillary), 356 nucleotides long. RefSeq lists it as uncharacterized. The record is from RefSeq and is a predicted model, not a curated record. The transcript is spliced from 2 exons. Lineage: Eukaryota; Metazoa; Arthropoda; Insecta; Lepidoptera; Nymphalidae.
GCACGAGAAAGAUAGGCCGUAUUGUCGUACAAUGUUUGGUCAAUUGCACUUUGCGCCAAAACGACCACCUAAUGAUAUUCGUGAUUCGUUCCUUUCCCUCGCUACAGGUAAUAAAGCCCCAUGUAUUGAUGGUGUAACUAAUGUAAUCAUUAAAUAAAUUAGGGAAAGCAUUAUAUCAUUAACAAAAAUAUUUAACAGAAGCUUAGAACUAAGCUCCGGAUUCAUCAAAAACAGCUUCUGUCUUCCCGAAUAUAAAAGUGGACCCAAAAACUUACCGCCUAAUUUCACUUCUAUCAACAUUCGAAAUUGCUAAAGAAAAUUGUUAAUAACAGACUAGUAAAAUACAUUGAAAUGAA